GGUCAGCUGGUGUUGGAUUUGGGGGCUGAGGCUGGGCUUGAGUUUGGAUUUAGGAUAUGAGGGCUGGAUUCAGGAACAGGAGGUAAGGUUGGCCCUGAGGGUGAGGGUAAGGUCUAGGACUAACUCCAGAAUUUGGAGCUGGGGUUAGUGUGAGGAAUUUGACCUGAGGUUUCAAGCCAGAUUUGGGUUUGGAACUUGGAGCUGAGAUUGGAAUUGGAUUCAGAAAUGAGGCUGGGGGUUGAGAUUGGGAUCCAAGACUCAGGGUUGGGGCUGAGACUCCGGGUAGGGGCUGGCGUUGGAGCUAGGAGUUCUAGUUAGUGUUUGAAACUACAGCUGGGUGGACGUUAGAUUUGGGGCUGGAGCUAAAGCUAAAAUGGUGCUGGAGCUGAGGGGAUGGGUUAGAGCCCAGGUGGUGGGGCAGACAGACACUUCUCCUGCUGCCCAGGUCUGAGAAUUGUGUUUGAGCCCUAACAGCAGCUGACAGAAGCCCCUCCCUUCCCAGGAAUGCCUUGGACUGCAGAAGGAGCAGUGCCACGUCAGCCAAUCGGCUCAAGCCCUGCCUAGGAAACACCUGUUGAUUCCCUUCCCCCACCCCCUGUUCCAAGGCUCACCUGGGUGCAGGUUAGGCAGGUGAAGCACCUCCCCGGAAACGAAGCUGGAGCGCCCCACCUGCCCGGCUCAGAUCGGAUCCAGCACUUCCAGGCUUCUUGAGCCAGCAGUGACAGCUGAAGCAUGUGAGUUGGAUCCUGAAUGAGGCUUUAUCUCUGGCUCUUCGUCAUCAUCAUCCACUGUCCACCGUGGCACCAGCUCCACCAGCCAGCUGGGAUGGGACAGGCAACUGAGGGAGCCAGAAAGAUGGUGGUGACCCUACCCUGGAUUGUGAGAGGAAUAGGACUCUGGGCCUCUAGCUGCCAAGCAGGUGGUGGGGGCUGCAGGCCAUGACCUGCACCCUCUGACUCCUGGUGCUGCCCUCUGUCCU
Molecule: long non-coding RNA, 979 nt
Filed under: Rhinolophus ferrumequinum (greater horseshoe bat)
Lineage: Eukaryota; Metazoa; Chordata; Mammalia; Chiroptera; Rhinolophidae
Description: lncRNA (ENSRFEG00010006626.1)
Source: RNAcentral